Long non-coding RNA from Homo sapiens (human), 383 nucleotides. NCBI's taxonomy places the organism in Eukaryota, Metazoa, Chordata, Mammalia, Primates, Hominidae. The record is from Ensembl.
CCUGUUAUGUUCAAGGUGCCCUCCAGGGUGGAGGUAAGGCCGAGGACAGGGAGGGGCACCCCAACGGUCGGCCCCCACCCGGGCUCCUGGAGCCAACGCGCUGGGGCUGCCCUGGCUGUGAGGACCCCCACCCCUGCCCUGGCUGCCUUCUUCCUGUCCUCGAAAGCCGGAGACCCGCAGGGAGCCCCGGAGCCGUCAGUCACGGAGGGGAAAUGAGUCCCCACUCGGGAUGGGCCACCCCUUUCCAGCCGGACGACUCCUCCCCACCAGCCCUGAUCACCCCCGAAGCACCCGUCGGCUCCACUGAGGUCUCCCCACAUGCUCCACCGGCGCUCAGCACACAGCAGGUGCCUAAUAAAUGUCAAGUGCCUGCAUGCCCUUGA